AAACACCACCCUUUCCUUUGCAUGGUCACAAAUUCCACUCUCCCUGUAGCCAGGGCAGUGCCGCAGCACCUCCUCGACCACAUCUCACCGCAUUCGACCUUUCCGCCUUCUCUUCUCAGUCUUCCACGGAACCUUUUCUGACCCAUUUUUUGAGGGUUUUCAUUUUUUUUUUUUUUUUUUUUUUUUAACGGUAAAUACGGAUAGGACCGGCCGCACAGGAGGGCGAAAGAGGGGACAGGGGCUGUUUCAAUGUUGUCUACCGAUGACUUGGCGAUUUGCUCUGGUUGAACUAGGGAUGCCGUUUUGGCUUCUUUUUCGAGUUUGUAGAUUUUUUGCGGGCAACGGAAUUGGCCUAGUCUGCACCCUAAGCCUGACUCCAUAUUGCCGCCAGGUGUAGGCUGACUCCGGUACGGACAUCGAACUGGUCAGCACCAUAGACAGACGUCCUCCACCGGUGAUGCACAUAAUGAUCUUCUACCUCUGCAUUACCUGGCAAGAC
This is a long non-coding RNA of Cyprinus carpio carpio, 499 nucleotides long. NCBI's taxonomy places the organism in Eukaryota, Metazoa, Chordata, Actinopteri, Cypriniformes, Cyprinidae. The record is from Ensembl.